UUUUUUUUUUUUUUUAGUUAUUCUGGCAGGUGUGAGGCGUAUCUGCCUCACUGCAGUUCUGAUUUGCAUUUCCCUGAUCCGUGGUGAUCCGUGAGGUCGAGCAUUUUCUCGUGUCUGUCGGCCACGUAUUGGUCUUGGAGAAAUGUCUGUUGGUUGUGUGUCCUCUGCCCGUUUUUAUUUAGGUUGUUUUUUGGUGUUGAAUUGCGUUAAGUUCUUUACACACUUUGGAUGCUGACCCUGUAUCAGGUCACUUGCCGGUGUGUUCUCCCACUCAGCAGGUUGUCUUUUAGUCUUUUAGUUUUCUUAUUUCCUUUGCUGUGCGGAAGCUUUUUAUUUUGAAGCAGUUUCAAUAGUCUCUUUUUGCUUUUGUGUCCCUUGCCUUAGGAGACCUCCCUAGAAAAAUCCUGCUAUGAAGAAAAAAACUGUGGUUCUAGUCAGUGUCAGGAUUACUGCCGAUGCUCUCUUCUACGAUUUUUAUGGCUUCAGGUCUGCCAUUCAGGUCCUGAAUCCACUGGGGCUUUACUUUGAGCGUGACGUAAGAGAGCGGCCCACUUUGGUUCCUUCGCAUGUAACUGUCCAGGCUUCCCCACACCGUUGGUUGCAGAGACGCUCUCUCGCUGCGUAGUCUCUGCCUCUCCCGUGAACAAUCCGCGUACAAUCAGGAGUGUGUUUCUGGGCCUCCCGUCCCGGUCAUUGACCCGAGCGCCCGCCUCUGCGCCCGCACCUACCGCUCGGGUUCCUACAGCUCCGUGGCACAUCUUGUUACUGAGGAUUGUGAUACGUUCAGUUGUUGUCUCUUCCGAGAUCGCUUUGGCUAUUCGGGGUGUUUCGUGCUUCCACACAAGUUUUAAGAUGAUUCUACGUGUGUGAAAAAUGCUGUUGGCAUUUUGAGAGGGACUGCGCUAAAUCUGUAGACCGCUUUGGAUAGUGACAUUUUAACAAUAUUUGUUCCCCCAGUCCGUGCGCGUGGCAGAUCUUUGGAUCUGCUGGCGUCCUCUUCAGGCUCCUCCUCGGCAUCCUCUACUUUUUAGACAUCAGGUCUCUCACUUCUUUGCUGAAGUUUAUUCCUUGGUUAUUAUUUUUGGUGCAACUGCAAAACAAUUUUGGGAUGGUUUCCUUAAUUUCCCUUUCUGUUGUUUCAUUAUGAGCGUAUAGAAAUGCAACAGAAUUUUGUAUAUUUGUAUCCUGAGGCCUUACCGAAUUUAUGUAUCCGUUCUAAUAGGUUUUAGGUGGAGUCUUUAGGGUUUUCUAUGUAUCGUAUCGUGUCACCUGCAAAUAGUGAACGUUGUAGUGCUUCCUUACCAAUUUGGAUGACUUUACUUUUUCUUCUUUGAUUGCUGCAGUUAGGACGUGCAAUACUGUGUUGAGUGAAGGUGGCGCGAGUGGACAUCUUUGUCUUGUUCUUGACCAUUGGGGAAAUGCUCUCAGGUUUUCACCAGUGAAUAGGAUGUUAGCUGUGGGUUUUUUCAUAUACGGUCUUUAUUGAGUAUGUUUCCCCUAAACCUACUUUGUUGAGUUUUCAUCAUGAAUGAUGUUGUACUCUGUCAGAUGAUUUUUCUGCAUCUGAUGAAAUGAGCAUGUGGUUUUUAUCCUUUCCUUUGUUGAUGUACUAUGUCAUGGUGACUGAUUUGUGAAUAUUGAGCUACCCUUGUCUUCCAUAAAUCCACUUGAUCGUGGUGGAUGAUUUUUUCAGUGUAUUGUUAGAUUCCGUUUGCUAACAUUAAAUAAUCUGUUCUCAUUGUUUUCUUAAUUUCUAUUUUGUUUAUUUCUGCUCUAAUCUUUAUUGUUUCUUCUGGUGUUGGGUUUUAUUCUUUCUUUUCUAGCUCCUUUAUGUAUAAGGUUAAGUUGUUUGGUAUUUUUCUUGCUUCGUGAGUUAAGCUUGUAUUGCUAUAAACUUGCCUCUUAGAAUAGCUUUUGCAGUGUUUCAAAGAUUGCGGACUCCUGUUUUCAUCUUCUUUUGUCUCCAUUUAUUUCUGCAUUUUUUUUUAAGAUUUAUUUAUUCAUGAGAGACACAGAAAGAGAAGCAGAGACACAGGCAGAGGGAGAAGCAGGCUCCAUGCAGGGAGCCCAACGUGGGACUCAAUCUGGGGACUCCAGGAUCAUGCCCUGGGCUGAAGGCGGCGCUAAACCGCUGACACCCAGGUGUCCCUGAUUUUUUUUUUUUUUAAAGAUUUUAUUUAUUCGUGAGAGACAGAGAGAGGCAGAGACGUAAAAAGAGGGAAAAGCAGGUGGGACUUGAUCCCAGGACCCCAGGAUCACGGCCAGAGACCAAGGCAGAUGCUCAACCACUGAGCCACCCAGGGGUCCCUUCUCUUUGAUUUCUUGAUUGACCCAUUCAUUGUCUAGUAGCAUAUUAUUCAACCUCCAUGUAUUUGUUUUUCCAGAUUUUUUUAUGGUUAAUUUCUAGUGUCAUAAUAGGAAGUGUCAUAGUUUCAUACUAUGAUUUUAAUUGAAGUUGUUGACUCACUUUGUGGCCUAAUAUGUGAUCUGUAUUGGAGAAUGUUCCACGUUCAGUUGAAAAGAAUGUGUUUUGCUAUUUUAGGAUGGGAUGUUCUGAAUAGACCUGUUAGAGCCAUCUGGUCCAUUGUGUCAUUCAGAGCCACUGUUUCCUUGUUGAUUUUCUAUUUUAAUGAUCUAUCCAUUGAUGUGUGGGGUGUUCUCUAUUAUUAUUGUAUUAUUAUCAGUUACUUCCUUUAUGUUUGCUGUUGCUGCUUUAUAUAUUUGGGUACUUCCCAAUUUGCAAUAUGAUCAUUAUGUUUGUCUAAUCUCUACACCCAACGUGGCGCUCCAGCUCACAACCCUGAAAUCGAGUCAUCAUGCCCUUCCUACUGAGCCAGCCAGGUGCCCCCAGUUGUUAGGUCUUCUUGUUGGAUCGUUCCUUUGAUUAUAUAGUAUCCUUUGUCUCUCGUUACUGUCUUUUAAUCUCUCUCUGAUGUAAGUAUUGCUGUCUCAGCUUUCCUCUACUGCCCUUUGCCUGUAAAUGGUUUCCUUCACUUGCCGCUUGCAUGCGUCUUUAGGUCUGAAAUGAGUCUCCUGUAGGCGGUGUAUAGAUGGGUCUUUUCAUCCGUUCCAUCACCUUAUGUCUUUUGAUUGGUGCAUUUACUCCAUGUACAUUCAGAGUAAUUAUCGAUCUGUCCUGAUUGCUACUUUGUUACUUGUUUUAUGGUUGUUUUUUGUCAUUCUCUGUUGCUUCUCAUUUUCUCUCAUGGUUUGCUGGCUUUCUUUAGCAAUAUAGUUGGGUUCCUGUCGUCUUUCUUUUUUGCGUAUUACUGGUUUUUGAUUUGUGGUUCCGUUAGAUUAUACACAGCCUCUUUUGCAUAUAGUAGUCUAUGUUAAGUUGCCAAUAGCUUAAGUCUUAACUCAUUCUUCUCUCCUUGCCCACAGUGUUUUGGGUAUUCAUUGUCAAACACUGCAGCCUUAUUUUGUGGAUUCCUUGACUGACUUUAUAGAUACUUGAGUUCCAACUGAAAAAUACACCAGGAGCCUUAUGGAGUUUCCCUUGUAUGUAAAUGUUUUCUUUUGCUGCUUUUUAAAUUCUGUCAGUGCUUUUGCCAUCUUAAUUACUGUGCAUCUUCGUAUGGAAUUCCUUGGGUAUUGUUGAGGACUUUUUGGUGGCUCCUGGAUCGGAAAUUUGUUUCCUUUCUUAGAUUUGGAGAAUUUUCAGCAAUUUCUGUAAAUAAAUUUCCUGUCCCCUUUUCUCUCUUCUGAGAUCCAUGUAAUGCAAUUGUUAUUAGGCUUAAUGGUGUCACCUAGUUUUUCCUUAGUCUAUUCUCAUUAUUUAUUUAUUUAUUAUUUAUUUAUUCCUUCCUAUUCGGCUUGAUUGCUUUCCAUUGCUCUGUCCUCUAGGCCACUGAUCUGUUCUGCUUCCUCUAAGUCUACUAUUUAUUCCAUUAUAUUUUUAGUUUCAACUACUGAGUUUAUCUCUGAUUGGUUUUCAUGGUUUUCUUUGUUGAGCAACUCACCAAUGUCCUCAAAGUCUUUUCUCAAGUCCAGAAUCCUUGACUAUUGCUUUAAACCCUCCAUCAGGUGUAUUACUCAGUUCUGGUUUUUUUUAGAUCUCUUGCUGUGAUUUGUCCUGGUCUUUCAUUUGGGACUUGGUCCUCUGACUUUUCAUUUUAUCUAACGCUGCAUCUGUUUCUGUGUGUUAGGAGAGUCAACUACGUCUCCUGAUUUUGCAAGUAAUAGCCUUAUGAAGAAGAGGUCCUGUGGUGGUGCCCUACUGCUCAAUAUCCUCGGCUCACCAAAACCUGGCUCUUCGGGGCUAUCGCCUGUGUGUGUUGCGUGUACCCCGGUUUGUGGCGGAGUCACGUUUGCCUUCAGUCCAGUCAUCUGCAGUAGCUUUCGUUGCCACUUGUGGACAGGGUUUCAUUCCUGUGGCAUGAGUGGGCCAGUCUGGGGCCUCCUUGGGCUUGAGUUGAGUCAGACGAGGUGUUCGCCAGAGAUGCAGUGGUAUGGAACUGCCUUAAGCUUUCCCUGUGUUGUCCUUUGAGAAGCUUUCAUUGGUGUGUGGGGCCCACAGUCAGACCUGAUGUCUGCCCCGAGUCCAUUGCUGGGGCCACACAGCUGGGCCGUGGUGUGUGUUAUCCUCCCUUCUCAGGGCAGGAGUCUGUGGAGUGGUGCUGGGCCACUGCCAGGCAGCGGCAAUGCUUUGGAUGGGCCCUGGCCACCCACCCGAAGGGCAGGUCUGUAGCAAAUAGUAGGGUUGGGGCGUGCAGUGCCAUCCCUUUCCCAGCUGUCCACUGAUGACCCCACAGUGGUUUAUAAAAUGUUAUCAGCUGAGCCAUAAGGGAAGCUUGCUGAAUACAGUAUAGUCCUGAGAAAGCCACGUGUGUACAUUUUUAACGGUACAUUUAAAUUUUUUUAGUGAAGUCUAAACUGAUGGAUUUGCUUUAUUGAAAUUGAUUUGUUGAUCAAAACAACCUUUAAAAAUAAGUUACUACUUCAGUGGUGUUUAUUGCAGAAUUCUAGACUUUAUUGACUAUCACCUUUGUAACUUCAGACCUGGAAUAGAAUUAAAAGCAUGAGCAUUCAGUGAGCAAGGAAAAGGUGAGUGUUUCUGCCAUUGUUCUUUGUAUUUAACAUGUUCAGAAUCCUUGUUUAAAAAAAAAAUAAUGUUGAACAUUUUCAUAAUGGAGAAAGACUCUGGGUUGAUACAGCAAUAAACAUUGCAUAAACUUUUAAAAUAUCUAUUCUAUAAUUAAACUUUAAGGCAACAUGGAAAAUUUAGUAAUGACAGUUUUAAGAAUCACGAACCUAUGGGUUUAAUGUCUCUUAAGUUAUAUGUGUAAGUCCAGAAAAUAAUGAAGUAGAUCUAGUUUAAUAACUGGACAAUUAGUGAUAUUAAGAUUUGUUUUACUGGAGAAUUACUGAGGUUCAUAUAGAAACAAAUUAAGGGAUGGUGCAACUGUUAACCAUAUUGACACAAAAAAACCAUUGGGCAGCUUUGAGAGCUUAGGAAAUAAUGGUGGGGAGUCUGAACUGAAACCCUGACUGCAGGAUGUGCAGGUCCCGCAGACCAGUGCAAUACUCAGAAAUGCUUAAAUGGCUUCCACGUAGUUGGCUGGCAGCAUGCCGGUCCUGCCCGUCCUCUGCACAGUGCCAUACAUCCAACCCUCGUCGAUCGCUUGGACGUUUACAAUAGCGUCUCCGUCUCUGAAGGACACCUCAUCU
This 5670-nucleotide long non-coding RNA is filed under the name Canis lupus familiaris (dog). RNAcentral's name for it is "lncRNA (ENSCAFG00000057132.1)". Lineage: Eukaryota; Metazoa; Chordata; Mammalia; Carnivora; Canidae. The record is from RNAcentral.